This 1880-nucleotide ribosomal RNA is filed under the name Listeria monocytogenes. Its description in RNAcentral is "partial 23S ribosomal RNA". It matches the Rfam family "Bacterial large subunit ribosomal RNA", at positions 1050 to 2925 of the family's 2925-position model. The record is from RNAcentral. Lineage: Bacteria; Bacillati; Bacillota; Bacilli; Caryophanales; Listeriaceae.
AAAUAUAUGUUAAGUGGAAAAGGAUGUGGGGUUGCUUAGACAACCAGGAUGUUGGCUUAGAAGCAGCCACCAUUGAAAGAGUGCGUAAUAGCUCACUGGUCGAGUGACCCCGCGCCGAAAAUGUACCGGGGCUAAACAUAUUACCGAAACUGUGGAUGAACCUCUUUAGAGGUUCGUGGUAGGAGAGCGUUCUAAGGGCGGUGAAGUCAGACCGGAAGGACUGGUGGAGCGCUUAGAAGUGAGAAUGCCGGUAUGAGUAGCGAAAGAAGGGUGAGAAUCCCUUCCACCGAAUAUCUAAGGUUUCCUGAGGAAGGCUCGUCCGCUCAGGGUUAGUCGGGACCUAAGCCGAGGCCGAUAGGCGUAGGCGAUGGACAACAGGUAGAGAUUCCUGUACCAGUGCUAAUUGUUUAACCAAUGGGGUGACACAGAAGGAUAGGGAAUCGCACGAAUGGAAAUGUGCGUCCAAGCAGUGAGUGUGAGAAGUAGGCAAAUCCGCUUCUCGCGAAGCAUGAGCUGUGAUGGGGAAGGAAAUUAAGUACGGAAGUUCCUGAUUUCACGCUGUCAAGAAAAGCCUCUAGGAAGAGUAGUACUGCCCGUACCGCAAACCGACACAGGUAGAUGAGGAGAGAAUCCUAAGGUGAGCGAGAGAACUCUCGUUAAGGAACUCGGCAAAAUGACCCCGUAACUUCGGGAGAAGGGGUGCUCUAUUAGGGUGCAAGCCCGAGAGAGCCGCAGUGAAUAGGCCCAGGCGACUGUUUAGCAAAAACACAGGUCUCUGCAAAACCGUAAGGUGACGUAUAGGGGCUGACGCCUGCCCGGUGCUGGAAGGUUAAGAGGAGUGCUUAGCUUCGGCGAAGGUACGAAUUGAAGCCCCAGUAAACGGCGGCCGUAACUAUAACGGUCCUAAGGUAGCGAAAUUCCUUGUCGGGUAAGUUCCGACCCGCACGAAAGGCGCAACGAUCUGGGCACUGUCUCAACGAGAGACUCGGUGAAAUUAUAGUACCUGUGAAGAUGCAGGUUACCCGCGACAGGACGGAAAGACCCCGUGGAGCUUUACUGCAACCUGAUAUGGAAUGUUUGUACCGCUUGUACAGGAUAGGUAGGAGCCGAAGAGACGUGUGCGCUAGCAUACGAGGAGGCAAUGGUGGGAUACUACCCUGGCUGUAUGACCAUUCUAACCCGCCACGCUUAGCGCGUGGGGAGACAGUGUCAGGUGGGCAGUUUGACUGGGGCGGUCGCCUCCUAAAGAGUAACGGAGGCGCCCAAAGGUUCCCUCAGAAUGGAUGGAAAUCAUUCGCAGAGUGUAAAGGCACAAGGGAGCUUGACUGCGAGACUGACAAGUCGAGCAGGGACGAAAGUCGGGCUUAGUGAUCCGGUGGUUCCGCAUGGAAGGGCCAUCGCUCAACGGAUAAAAGCUACCCCGGGGAUAACAGGCUUAUCUCCCCCAAGAGUCCACAUCGACGGGGAGGUUUGGCACCUCGAUGUCGGCUCGUCGCAUCCUGGGGCUGUAGUCGGUCCCAAGGGUUGGGCUGUUCGCCCAUUAAAGCGGCACGCGAGCUGGGUUCAGAACGUCGUGAGACAGUUCGGUCCCUAUCCGUCGCGGGCGCAGGAAAUUUGAGAGGAGCUGUCCUUAGUACGAGAGGACCGGGAUGGACACACCGCUGGUGUACCAGUUGUUCCGCCAGGAGCAUCGCUGGGUAGCUAUGUGUGGCAGGGAUAAACGCUGAAAGCAUCUAAGCGUGAAGCCCCCCUCAAGAUGAGAUUUCCCAUUUCUUCGGAAAGUAAGAUCCCUGAAAGAUGAUCAGGUAGAUAGGUUUGGAGUGGAAGUGUAGCGAUACAUGGAGCGGACAAAUACUAAUCGAUCGAGGACUUAACCAAAA